Molecule: ribosomal RNA, 435 nt
Filed under: uncultured Flavobacterium sp.
Lineage: Bacteria; Pseudomonadati; Bacteroidota; Flavobacteriia; Flavobacteriales; Flavobacteriaceae
Description: bacterial SSU rRNA
Rfam family: Bacterial small subunit ribosomal RNA
Source: RNAcentral
GGAAUAUUGGACAAUGGGCGCAAGCCUGAUCCAGCCAUGCCGCGUGCAGGAUGACGGUCCUAUGGAUUGUAAACUGCUUUUGUACAGGAAGAAACACUCCGACGUGUCGGAGCUUGACGGUACUGUAAGAAUAAGGAUCGGCUAACUCCGUGCCAGCAGCCGCGGUAAUACGGAGGAUCCAAGCGUUAUCCGGAAUCAUUGGGUUUAAAGGGUCCGUAGGCGGUUUAAUAAGUCAGUGGUGAAAGCCCAUCGCUCAACGGUGGAACGGCCAUUGAUACUGUUAGACUUGAAUUAUUAGGAAGUAACUAGAAUAUGUAGUGUAGCGGUGAAAUGCUUAGAGAUUACAUGGAAUACCAAUUGCGAAGGCAGGUUACUACUAAUUGAUUGACGCUGAUGGACGAAAGCGUGGGUAGCGAACAGGAUUAGAUACCCUAG